AUGACACUUGGAAGAAGAGCAUCUCGCACCGUUGGAUCCAUCCAACCAGCACCUACUGCUCGGAAGAUUACUGCUCCUGAUGGCACUUAUGAUGGGUACAUAAGAGGAGUUUCAAAUCUUCCACCUGAUAUCCCGAAUAAUGAAGACCGCCCAAUCAUUCAACCAGUUGGAAAGAUGCAUUGGAAAGACAUUCCUGUUGUUCGAAAGGGCAGACGGCCUUCAAGUGUAUUGACAUGCCUUCUGAAACGUAAUCAUCCAGGUGUUGUGGAUUAUGAUGGUGCUAAGCUAAGGUACAAGUAUGGAGAUGCAUACUCAGAGAAGGCAAAGCAACAUGUUAGAAGAUGUUUUGAUGAGUGGUGUAGUGAAGAGUGGAUUGCAAAAUCUAAGAAACAUCGUGAAAAUCGUGUUAGCUCAAAGUUCAAGCCUCACAAAGGUGGUUCCAACUCCAUGACUACUAUAAGUCAAAAAAAUGUCUGA
This 477-nucleotide ribosomal RNA is filed under the name Triticum aestivum (bread wheat). RNAcentral describes it as "partial small subunit ribosomal RNA". Lineage: Eukaryota; Viridiplantae; Streptophyta; Magnoliopsida; Poales; Poaceae. The record is from RNAcentral.